RNAcentral lists this long non-coding RNA (2293 nucleotides) under Citrus sinensis (sweet orange). RNAcentral's name for it is "long non-coding RNA (CSIN_LNC002174)". The record is from RNAcentral. Lineage: Eukaryota; Viridiplantae; Streptophyta; Magnoliopsida; Sapindales; Rutaceae.
ACCAAUAAAAAAAUUUAGGUGUUGGACUCCCCUUCGGCUUCACAUGGCCAGCCCUAAUUUCUUAAUCCAAACCUAAUCACACACAAAUACACAAUCACGCUGCCUACAAUAGAUUUGGUCAUCUGCUGUGCUGCUUGCCGACAACAAAUUGCUGCUCUUCGUCUUCGUCUUCGUCUUCGUCCUCAUCCCCGAUCUCUAGCUUGCUGGCUAUUCCCAUUUCCUUUUGUUUCGCAACUUAAUGGUUGUUGCCGGUAGCCUGCUACCUUCUUCAACUCCGAGCUAUAGCUAAUGCCUUCUUAAUUUAGAUUUUCUUCAAGUUCGAGUUGCUGCUACUGUAUUCUUUUGUGAGAGGUAAGCUGAUGGGUUCUUUCAUUUGUACACUAGGGUUUGGGGUUCUCUGAUCAGAAUAUAUCGGCUGGUCUGGUGAUUGCUCAACCGCCGUCGAUUUUUGAGGUGCCGCCCAGGUUGAGCCCCGCAAUUCUACUUGACUCGCUAAAUUUCAGUUUGUUUUCGCCUACACAGGUAAUUCAAUUUAACUUUGUCUGACCUAAAGUUUCUUCAUUUAUUCAUUAGAUUUUAGCUUGUUUAGGAAAGCUUUCAUUUUUAUUGGGUUUCGCAUUUAAAUUCUAAUAAUCCUUGGGUUUGAAUUUUGAUUUUUUUUUUUUUGGAGGGAUGGAAAAUUUUCUUCAUUGCCUUGAUUUGUUAGCAGUCGGUUGGAAUUUUGAAUUAGAGCUUGCUGAAGCAUUUAUUAUAGAAUUUAUAAAUGUGCCCUGUAAUUGGGAUAAAAACUCUUGACUUAAUUAAUCUGACAGAAGAACAUUUUGAGCAAUGUUGUAAUGUGAUUGUGCAUUGCUGAGAUAAUCUCAUCUUGUUUUGGUAUUCUAACCAAUAAAAAAAAAUUUAAGUGUUGGACUCCCCUUCGGCUUCACAUGGCAAGCCCUAAUUUCUUAAUCCAAACCUAAUCACACACAAAUACACAAUCACGCUGCCUACAAUAGAUUUGGUCAUCUGCUGUGCUGCUUGCCGACAACAAAUUGCUGCUCUUCGUCUUCGUCUUCGUCUUCGUCCUCAUCCCCGAUCUCUAGCUUGCUGGCUAUUCCCAUUUCCUUUUGUUUCGCAACUUAAUGGUUGUUGCCGGUAGCCUGCUACCUUCUUCAACUCCGAGCUAUAGCUAAUGCCUUCUUAAUUUAGAUUUUCUUCAAGUUCGAGUUGCUGCUACUGUAUUCUUUUGUGAGAGGUAAGCUGAUGGGUUCUUUCAUUUGUACACUAGGGUUUGGGGUUCUCUGAUCAGAAUAUAUCGGCUGGUCUGGUGAUUGCUCAACCGCCGUCGAUUUUUGAGGUGCCGCCCAGGUUGAGCCCCGCAAUUCUGCUUGACUCGCUAAAUUUCAGUUUGUUUUCGCCUACACAGGUAAUUCAAUUUAACUUUGUCUGACCUAAAGUUUCUUCAUUUAUUCAUUAGAUUUUAGCUUGUUUAGGAAAGCUUUCAUUUUUAUUGGGUUUCGCAUUUAAAUGCUAAUAAUCCUUGGGUUUGAAUUUUGAUUUUUUUUUUUUUGGAGGGAUGGAAAAUUUUCUUCAUUGCCUUGAUUUGUUAGCAGUCGGUUGGAAUUUUGAAUUAGAGCUUGCUGAAGCAUUUAUUAUAGAAUUUAUAAAUGUGCCCUGUAAUUGGGAUAAAAACUCUUGACUUAAUUAAUCUGACAGAAGAACAUUUUGAGCAAUGUUGUAAUGUGAUUGUGCAUUGCUGAGAUAAUCUCAUCUUGUUUUGGUAUUCUAAGUAUCCAAAUGGACUGGAUAGUAGGCUAUCCAGGUCAAGUUUUAAUGGUAAUUGGGCAUUUUUCUUUCCUGAUUUUAGUUUCAUCUCUUUUUAGAUGAAGCAUAUGGUUAAUGCAAACAAUUAACGAAAGAAAAGCUCUUGGUAUUACUAGUGUUGGAGAUCCAAUUGUCUUCAUGUAAACUGUGAACACUUUUAACUCCCAUAUCUAAGAUAUAGAGAUCUUUAUGUAGCUUUAAGCCAAAUAUGUGAGAAAUUCUCCAAUCUAGUCACAACUUUAUUAGCAACCAAGAAUGAAAGAGUAUUAGCUUCCAGUUAUAAUUUGAUGACCGGAGCUUGAAUGAGUGAGUGAUAACUUGUAUUGUCUAUAUUGCUUUGUAUGUCAUGCCUCACUGGCAUUAUGUUACUUGGGUAUCCAAAUUUUGCGUUUAUCUAUUACUAAUUUCCCUGAUUCAUUGGAUGCAACCUAGGGAGCCUUUAGAAUGAAGCACUAGCAGGCCCUAGCACAGGUCACUGCCCAAGCUG